Molecule: long non-coding RNA, 235 nt
Filed under: Capsicum annuum
Lineage: Eukaryota; Viridiplantae; Streptophyta; Magnoliopsida; Solanales; Solanaceae
Description: long non-coding RNA (CANN_LNC018445)
Source: RNAcentral
AGUAGCAUAUAUGUUUGAAUUUAUGUUUGAAUAUAGAUUGGAUUGGAUUAAAUGAAUAAAAUACAAAAAUACAAAGAACUAAAAUAAAUUAUUUCUGAAAAAUGUAAAGAAUUAAAAAUAAGAAUAGAAAGACUAUAUUAUAAUAUAUUUUCCGGAGUUAGUGAAAACUCAAUAAAUACACAAAAAGAUGAAAUAUCAAAAUUAGAAUCACAAAUAGAUAGUUUAGAAUAUAUAU